AUUCCAGCUCCAAUAGCGUAUAUUAAAGUUGUUGCAGUUAAAAAGCUCGUAGUUGGAUUUCUGACUUCAAACACCUGACCCUCCCUCGCUAGAGGUGUGUGUGCCGGAGUGUUUGUAUCAUCCUUUCAGUGAUCGGUUCUACCCUUAACCGGGUCGGAACUGUUAACUGGAUCUUUUACUUUGAAGAAAUUGGAGUGUUUAAAGCAGGCUUACGCCAGAACAUAUUAGCAUGGAAUAAUAAUUUAGGACUUUUGUUCUAUUUUGUUGGUUUCUAGGACGAAAGUAAUGAUUGAUAGGGAUAGUUGGGGGUGCUAGUAUUCGGCGGCCAGAGGUGAAAUUCUUUGAUCCGCUGAAGACUAACUUAUGCGAAAGCAUUCACCAAGGAUGUCUUCAUCG
This 396-nucleotide ribosomal RNA is filed under the name Cercozoa sp. RNAcentral describes it as "partial small subunit ribosomal RNA". It matches the Rfam family "Eukaryotic small subunit ribosomal RNA", at positions 582 to 975 of the family's 1831-position model. Lineage: Eukaryota; Cercozoa. The record is from RNAcentral.